This 471-nucleotide ribosomal RNA is filed under the name uncultured bacterium. Its description in RNAcentral is "bacterial SSU rRNA". It matches the Rfam family "Bacterial small subunit ribosomal RNA", at positions 329 to 792 of the family's 1533-position model. The record is from RNAcentral.
GGCCAGACUCCUACGGGAGGCAGCAGUGGGGAAUAUUGCACAAUGGGCGCAAGCCUGAUGCAGCCAUGCCGCGUGUAUGAAGAAGGACUUCGGGUUGUAAAGUACUUUCAGCGGGGAGGAAGGUGUUGAGGUUAAUAACCUCAGCAAUUGACGUUACCCGCAGAAGAAGCACCGGCUAACUCCGUGCCAGCAGCCGCGGUAAUACGGAGGGUGCAAGCGUUAAUCGGAAUUACUGGGCGUAAAGCGCACGCAGGCGGUCUGUCAAGUCAGAUGUGAAAUCCCCGGGCUCAACCUGGGAACUGCAUUCGGAACUGGCAGGCUGGAGUGUGGUAGAGGGGGGUAGAAUUCCAGGUGUAGCGGUGAAAUGCGUAGAGAUCAGGAGGAAUACCGGUGGCGAAGGCGGCCCCCUGGACAAAGACUGACGCUCAGGUGCGAAAGCGUGGGGAGCAAACAGGAUUAGAUACCCGAGUA